RNAcentral lists this ribosomal RNA (492 nucleotides) under uncultured bacterium. Its description in RNAcentral is "partial 16S ribosomal RNA". It matches the Rfam family "Bacterial small subunit ribosomal RNA", at positions 29 to 507 of the family's 1533-position model. The record is from RNAcentral.
AGUGAACGCUGGCGGUAGGCCUAACACAUGCAAGUCGAACGGCAGCACAGUAAGAGCUUGCUCUUACGGGUGGCGAGUGGCGGACGGGUGGGGAAUACAUCGGAAUCUACUUUUUCGUGGGGGAUAACGUAGGGAAACUUACGCUAAUACCGCAUACGACCUACGGGGGAAAGCAGGGGAUCUUUGGACCUUGCGCGAUUGAAUGAGCCGGUGUCGGAUUAGCUAGUUGGCGGGGUAAAGGCCCACCAAGGCGACGAUCCGUAGCUGGUCUGAGAGGAUGAUCAGCCACACUGGAACUGAGACACGGUCCAGACUCCUACGGGAGGCAGCAGUGGGGAAUAUUGGACAAUGGGCGCAAGCCUGAUCCAGCCAUACCGCGUGGGUGAAGAAGGCCUUCGGGUUGUAAAGCCCUUUUGUUGGGAAAGAAAAGCAGCAGGUUAAUACCCCGCUGUUCUGACGGUACCCAAAGAAUAAGCACCGGCUAACUUCGUG